Molecule: ribosomal RNA, 460 nt
Filed under: Eggerthia catenaformis
Lineage: Bacteria; Bacillati; Bacillota; Erysipelotrichia; Erysipelotrichales; Coprobacillaceae
Description: bacterial SSU rRNA
Rfam family: Bacterial small subunit ribosomal RNA
Source: RNAcentral
GAUGAACGCUGGCGGCGUGCCUAAUACAUGCAAGUCGAACGGGCUGCCAUAAGGCAGCCAGUGGCGAACGGGUGAGGAGCACAUGGGGAACCUGCCCGUCAGAGGGGGACAACAGCUGGAAACGGCUGCUAAGACCGCAUAGGCUCAAGGAGGGCAUCCUCGUUGAGUUAAAGUGUCCUUUCGGGGACAGCUGACGGAUGGACCUGUGGCGCAUUAGCCAGUUGGCGGGGUAAAGGCCCACCAAGGCGACGAUGCGUAGCCGGCCUGAGAGGGCGGACGGCCACACUGGGACUGAGACACGGCCCAGACUCCUCGGGAGGCAGCAGUAGGGAAUUUUCGGCAAUGGGGGGAACCCUGACCGAGCAACGCCGCGUGAGUGAGGAAGGCCUUCGGGCUGUAAAGCUCUGUUGCAGAGGAAGAACGGGAGAGCGAGGAAAUGCGCUUUUCGUGACUGUACUCU